CGAACAAUUCUGGUUCAUACGAGUUCGUUCUGAAAUAGCGUGGUGGAUGUAUGGCAUAGUUUUAGCCAUUGAAUUUCACUCAAAGUCCACCAAAUGACUCACUCCACCAUAUUAUGAUGUUCCCCAAAUUUUGGGCUCAAUCCGAUAUUGAUUGGUCCAAGAAAUUGGACAAUUCAGGUUCGUUCGAAGUUCAUUCUGAAAUGGAGUGGUUUGUGUAUUGUAUAGUUCAAGAAAUUGGAUUUCACUCAAAACCCACAAAAUGACUCAUCCC
This 271-nucleotide long non-coding RNA is filed under the name Prunus persica (peach). RNAcentral describes it as "long non-coding RNA (PPER_LNC006197)". The record is from RNAcentral. Lineage: Eukaryota; Viridiplantae; Streptophyta; Magnoliopsida; Rosales; Rosaceae.